UUUGUUGAUUGUGCUAGGGAGAUGGUGGGGUUAGUGCUGUGAGGAGCUGCGCAUGAGAAAUCACCAAGAAGUUUCUAUCUGAGAAAUCCUCCAAGAAAAACAGCUAGAAGAAAAUAUCUACAAAUGAAGGAUCCAUCAGAUUCCCCCCAGGACAAUUCUGUAGCUGCCCAUGCAAUUCCACCAGAGCUUUUCCCCCCUGUAUCAGGGUCUUACAGUCAAAGAGGAAGGAUGUAUUUAUACCUUAUUAAGAACCAGGUAGAUCUCACACAGCUUGUAAAGUACAGAGACAUCCUGUGAAAACAACUCUCUCAAGUCAAGCACUUGUGUUUUCAGGGGGCAGGAUUCAGUUUUGUGCAUCCUGCUGAGAGGAUUUUGUGCACAGUUCAGGAUUUGGAGUGACCAUGUGUCUUCUCCCUGUGCAUGGCAGGAAUCACAGUAUCCAAGCUGGAAAGUCAUCAGAAUAGCUGUCAGGGCUCAAGGAAGCCACUGCUGCUGCUGUGUGGCUGUCCUCUUAAAAUCUAUGGACAAGUUGUCCCCAGGCAGGCUGGCAUCUUCUGCAGAUGAGAUCCUCAGUUUUUAGCCAGGGAGGUGGCACAGCAAACCUUCCAGCUGCUGCCAAAAACCCAGGAUCAAUAGUUCUAAGGGAGAUGCCAACUGUCCUUGAUCCAGUGCA
Zonotrichia albicollis (white-throated sparrow) is the source of this 673-nucleotide non-coding RNA. The record is from RefSeq and is a predicted model, not a curated record. NCBI's taxonomy places the organism in Eukaryota, Metazoa, Chordata, Aves, Passeriformes, Passerellidae.